CGCACCUAUGCGUUUAAUUCAUAAACAGACUGUUGCACGAUCGUUGGUUAGCGUCUUGGGCCCGAAAAGUUGGUUAGAAAAGGCGCGGGAAUUUUUUGAAAUAACGUGCACGAUCGUGUUAGGUCGUCCUGAAAGGGAUAGGUAAUUUGAAACCCUAUUUUGUUUUAUUCUUUUUUUAUUUUAAAUAUUUUACAAUCCAAACUAAUAUUUACUGUAAGUAAAUGCUAAAUAAUAAAUAUCAGUUUGGAUUGUGAAAUAUCCUACUAAUAUUAUAAAGGCAAAAGUUUGGAUGUCUGGAUGUAAUGAUGUCUGGAUGUUUGUUACUCUUUCACGCAAAAACUACUGAACGGAUUUUGUUGAAACUUUACAGUAUUAUUGUUUAUAACCCAGAUUAACAUUAUGACGAUAUGUGGCACAUAAAUUUCAAUAAAUAAAUAAGUCGUGUCUAAAAAGCGCCAUCUAUCGUCAUUGGUUCAAAUCUACAGCACUGGACAAACUACGGUAUGACGUUCGUAAAUAUUCAUUCGGGGAAAGCCUUGAAACGCCAUGUAUCAACAUGGGUAAAACGAGGUAAAACAUCAUAUCUAACGGGGGUAAAACGAGGUCCACGCGAACGAAGUCGCGGGCGGCCGCUAGUUUCUAAUAGGUAGCUUUCCCUCCGCAACCUUAUUGGUAUUAAUUCCAUGUAUGUGUCUUUUAACUGAUUUCUGUUAAAUAUUUCAUGUAAAAUUUGUCCAGAUAUAACUUUAUUUUACAUCUGCAUCUGUAAGCAAGGAUUCAUGUUCUCCAGCCCAGAUGCCGAGUAAACAGAAUCGUCUUUCAGUGACGUGCAGCUGCCUCUAUAUUUGACCCACAGACCUAAUUUUUUAUUAUUUAUUUGUGUCAGUGUGCUCUUCUAAAGAGUGUAAGACGAUUGUAUGUAGGUACUAUUAAAAUGUAAUUUUAACUCAUUGGUUUUGUCCACAGAUAUGGAUAGAUGCAGCAUGUGAAAAAAGUUGUAUGAAGCCGAGCGUGCCACUUUUUAAACGUCAUUAGUGUCAUUUUAGCGAAUUUUAGUGAUUGCCGCAACGUAAAAAUAAUCGUAUCAUCGUACUGCAUUCGCAAAGUCAUCGAAAGAUAUCGUGUGACUCGAUUCGAAAAUUAAUUAAUUCCGAUAAAACUGAUAAUUUGUUAAAUACAAAACCAAAAACAUCUUUAUUUACCUUUUUAAAUAAAUUAAUUCUUACAAAUCGUCAAA
This is a long non-coding RNA of Ostrinia nubilalis (European corn borer), 1237 nucleotides long. RefSeq lists it as uncharacterized. The transcript is spliced from 2 exons. NCBI's taxonomy places the organism in Eukaryota, Metazoa, Arthropoda, Insecta, Lepidoptera, Crambidae. The record is from RefSeq and is a predicted model, not a curated record.